Molecule: ribosomal RNA, 241 nt
Filed under: uncultured bacterium
Lineage: Bacteria
Description: partial 16S ribosomal RNA
Rfam family: Bacterial small subunit ribosomal RNA
Source: RNAcentral
UACAGAGGGUGCGAGCGUUGUCCGGAAUCACUGGGCGUAAAGGGCGCGUAGGUGGUGGCUUAAGCGUGCGGUGAAAGCUCGGGGCUCAACUCCGAGUCGGCCGUGCGAACUGGGCUCACUGGAGCAUAGUAGAGGCAGGUGGAAUUCCGGGUGUAGCGGUGGAAUGCGUAGAGAUCCGGAAGAACACCAGUGGCGAAGGCGGCUUCCUGGCCUGUUCGUUGACGCUGAGGCGCGAAAGCUA